AAAGUCGUAACAAGGUUUCCGUAGGUGAACCUGCGGAAGGAUCAUUAUCGAGUGCCGGGCGUAAGCCCGUACCCGCACCCAGUGUCGACUCUCUCUGUUGCUUCGGCGCGCACGCCCCGGCGGCCGCCGAAGGACCCAACCAAACGCAUGGCAAACCGGUCCGUCCGAGGAUACGCAAAUCAGUCAAAACUUUCAACAACGGAUCUCUUGGUUCGG
RNAcentral lists this unclassified non-coding RNA (216 nucleotides) under Ascomycota sp. RNAcentral's name for it is "partial contains small subunit ribosomal RNA, internal transcribed spacer 1, and 5.8S ribosomal RNA". The stretch from base 1 to 47 matches the Rfam family "Eukaryotic small subunit ribosomal RNA", at positions 1785 to 1831 of the family's 1831-position model. Lineage: Eukaryota; Fungi; Ascomycota. The record is from RNAcentral.